RNAcentral lists this long non-coding RNA (760 nucleotides) under Pan troglodytes (chimpanzee). RNAcentral describes it as "long non-coding RNA NONPTRT007064". Lineage: Eukaryota; Metazoa; Chordata; Mammalia; Primates; Hominidae. The record is from RNAcentral.
GACCAGUGUAAACUUUGAAUAGGAUAGAGAAGAAAGUGUGGUUCACAUUUUCUGGAUCCCAAGGUGACUCUGUCAGCAAGCUUCCUAAGGGCCCCUCGGAGAAUGGGGAGCUCUCCGCCCCCUUGGAGUUGGGUAGUAUGGUGAAUGGGGUUUCAUAAAACCUCCAACCUGCACCCCUCCCUUCUCCAUCUCGCUUGCUGCCCAACACCAUGGCCCUCACAGGCCCAACUGACCUGCGCUGGAGCUGCUCUUAUCUAGGGGGGAGGGGGGUGGCACAGCAGCUUGGGUACCCCCCAACCUCCAGGAGCUAGUGGAGGGGUGUGUAACAGGGUCAUACCCCCUCCCUCUUGUCCACCCUACCCCCAGGGUAAGGGGAGCCUCUCUCCUUCCCCAUCAGACUGGAUGUGCCUUUAUCCUCUAAUGCCCCAAUCUCUCUCUGAACACCCCCAUUCUCCACCUGUUGGUGGGGGGUGCUCCUUGACCCACCCAGAUUUGACCGUUCAGGGGGCCUCCCCUGCUAUCCCUCCUCCCAUCCUGUACCCCCCAUUUCUGGGGCCUCAUCACUGUGGAAGACGGGGAUAGUAAGAGAUAAGUGGGUGGGAGGCACGGGGAAGGUUUUGGAGUAGAACCAGGGGUGUGUAUGAAGGGGGGUGACAAGGUCCCCCGGGGGAGGGGACCAACCUUGUCUGGUGGAUGAGAAGGCGUAUUUAUUUUUCACUGUACAGUAUUUAAAAAGAGAAUAAAAAAAUCCAAAUGGCUG